This 497-nucleotide ribosomal RNA is filed under the name uncultured bacterium. Its description in RNAcentral is "partial 16S ribosomal RNA". It matches the Rfam family "Bacterial small subunit ribosomal RNA", at positions 28 to 507 of the family's 1533-position model. The record is from RNAcentral.
GAUGAACGCUGGCGGCGUGCCUAAUACAUGCAAGUCGAGCGAACAGACGAGGAGCUUGCUCCUUUGACGUUAGCGGCGGACGGGUGAGUAACACGUGGGUAACCUACCUAUAAGACUGGGAUAACUUCGGGAAACCGGAGCUAAUACCGGAUAAUAUUUCGAACCGCAUGGUUCGAUAGUGAAAGAUGGCUUUGCUAUCACUUAUAGAUGGACCUGCGCCGUAUUAGCUAGUUGGUAAGGUAACGGCUUACCAAGGCAACGAUACGUAGCCGACCUGAGAGGCUGAUCGGCCACACUGGAACUGAGCCACGGUCCAGACGCCUACGGGAGGCAGCAGUAGGGAAUCUUCCGCAAUGGGCGAAAGCCUGACGGAGCAACGCCGCGUGAGUGAUGAAGGUCUUCGGAUCGUAAAACUCUGUUAUUAGGGAAGAAUAAACGUGUAAGUAACUGUGCACGUCUUGACGGUACCUAAUCAGAAAGCCACGGCUAACUACGUG